GAUGAACGCUGGCGGCGUGCCUAAUACAUGCAAGUCGAACGAACAGACGAGGCACUUGCUCCUCUGACGUUAGCGGCGGACGGGUGAGUAACACGUGCAUAACCUACCUAUAAGACUGGGAUCACUUCGGGAAACCGGAGCUAAUACCGGAUAAUAUAUUGAACCGCAUGGUUCCAUAGUGAAAGACGGUUUUUCUGUCACUUAUAGAUUGAUCAGCGCCGCAUUAGAUAGUUGGUAAGUUAACGGGUUACCAAGGCAACCAUGCGUAGCCGAGGUGACAGGCUGAUCGGCGACAUUGGCAGUGGUACACAGUCCAAGGGACUGAGGGAGGCCGCAGUAGCCAAUCUUACGCAAUGGGCGAAAACAUGACGGAGCAGCGGCGCGUGAGUGAUGAAGGUCUUAGGAUCGUGAAGAUGUGUUUUGAGGGAAAAACAAAUGUGUAAGUUAAUAAGCAAGUAUUGACGGUACCUGGUGAGAAAGCAACGGCUAACUACGUG
Molecule: ribosomal RNA, 497 nt
Filed under: uncultured bacterium
Lineage: Bacteria
Description: partial 16S ribosomal RNA
Rfam family: Bacterial small subunit ribosomal RNA
Source: RNAcentral